UGAACUAGAAGAAUCCGGACUAUCUUUUUAUUCCAUGGGUUCAGCUUAUCCACUUUAUGGAUACAUUGUCCAGGAUGAGGAUAGACAUCUAACUUGGUCCUAUGUUUGAGUAAGGACACAGAUUGAAGGAUUAGAGGAUCUUAACCAGCGGGUCCGGGAUCUGGUUUAGAAAAGAAUUAUUGUAUUCAACAAACAAAUCAUCUCAGGAAACAUGA
This is a long non-coding RNA of Eurytemora carolleeae, 215 nucleotides long. RefSeq lists it as uncharacterized. Lineage: Eukaryota; Metazoa; Arthropoda; Copepoda; Calanoida; Temoridae. The transcript is spliced from 3 exons. The record is from RefSeq and is a predicted model, not a curated record.